This 484-nucleotide ribosomal RNA is filed under the name uncultured bacterium. RNAcentral's name for it is "partial 16S ribosomal RNA". It matches the Rfam family "Bacterial small subunit ribosomal RNA", at positions 30 to 507 of the family's 1533-position model. The record is from RNAcentral.
AUUGAACGCUGGCGGCAGGCCUAACACAUGCAAGUCGAGCGGAUGAAGGGAGCUUGCUCCUGGAUUCAGCGGCGGACGGGUGAGUAAUGCCUAGGAAUCUGCCUGGUAGUGGGGGAUAACGUCCGAAAACGGGCGCUAAUACCGCAUACGUCCUGAGGGAGAAAGUGGGGGAUCUUCGGACCUCACGCUAUCAGAUGAGCCUAGGUCGGAUUAGCUAGUUGGUGGGGUAAAGGCCUACCAAGGCGACGAUCCGUAACUGGUCUGAGAGGAUGAUCAGUCACACUGGAACUGAGACACGGUCCAGACUCCUACGGGAGGCAGCAGUGGGGAAUAUUGGACAAUGGGCGAAAGCCUGAUCCGGCCAUGCCGCGUGUGUGAAGAAGGUCUUCGGAUUGUAAAGCACUUUAAGUUGGGAGGAAGGGCAGUAAGUUAAUACCUUGCUGUUUUGACGUUACCAACAGAAUAAGCACCGGCUAACUUCGUG